UACAGAGGUCUCAAGCGUUGUUCGGAAUUACUGGGCGUAAAGGGUGCGCAGGCCGCGCGGGCAGUCAAAUGUGUAAUUCAGGGGCUCAACCCCUGCACUGCGCUUGAUACUUCCGCGCUCGAGCUUUGGAGAGGAGUCUGGAAUUCUCGGUGUAGCAGUGAAAUGCGUGGAUAUCGAGAAGAACACUUAGGGCGUAGGCAAGACUCUGGACAAAUGCUGACGCUCAUGCACGAAGGCUAGGGUAGCGAACGGG
Molecule: ribosomal RNA, 253 nt
Filed under: uncultured bacterium
Lineage: Bacteria
Description: partial 16S ribosomal RNA
Rfam family: Bacterial small subunit ribosomal RNA
Source: RNAcentral